GUCCUGGAGAGAAGAGCAGCUCCCACCAGUUCAGCUUCAACACAAACCAUGUCCCCUGCAUCUCUGCUGCUGGCAGCUGCCUCCUGUCAGUCUCUCUGGGUUUGGAGGAAAGACAAAGCAAAGAAAAUUGCCUGAAGUGUACAGAGUUAUUUUUAACUCACUCAGCCAGCCUCCAUGACUGACCAGCCUGGUCAACCACUGACCGUCUCCUGUAAGGUGUCCAGUGUAACGGUCGUACUCACACAGGCUGAACAAUCAGUCCAGGGCACCCUUGCAGGAUCCCUCAAACUCACAUGUGCCUGUAGUGGAUUCACUCUAAGCAGCAAUUAUAUGUACUGGAUCUGCCAGGUACCUGGACUGAUUAUUCAGAGAGUAGCAAGUGCAAUGCCUCUGGAGUACAGGGCUGAUUCACAGCAUGGAAGGACAGCACUAAUGUAUGCACAUGAGCCAGUUGAUGUCAGAGGACUCUGCAGUGUAUUACUGUGCUAGAGAUUCACUAUGGUUAAACUAAUGGGAAUAGCUGUACACAAACCAUCUGGUAGAGAAAGGAAGGACGUGCACAAACACACAGACACACGUAUGGUAUGACCAGUAGACCAUGACAAAGGGAUAUACAUGAGGAACAAUUCUGUGGAG
This is a long non-coding RNA of Oncorhynchus tshawytscha (Chinook salmon), 636 nucleotides long. Lineage: Eukaryota; Metazoa; Chordata; Actinopteri; Salmoniformes; Salmonidae. The record is from Ensembl.